Long non-coding RNA from Saccostrea echinata, 848 nucleotides. RefSeq lists it as uncharacterized. NCBI's taxonomy places the organism in Eukaryota, Metazoa, Mollusca, Bivalvia, Ostreida, Ostreidae. The transcript has 2 exons. The record is from RefSeq and is a predicted model, not a curated record.
AAUGCCCGAUCUGAAGACAAGGUGAUCAUUUUUGAAUUGUCCUUUUUUCUGAAUUAUGUAACUUUGGAUGUAUUGUAAGUUCUAGGAAGCACCGUCUCAACUGACACUGAAGGGGGAAAGAGAAACUUGACCUGGUCAUGAAUUCUGUCCCUUCCAAAUCAACAUAACCACUGUGACUUAAUGCAGCAAAGAAAGCAGCGGAGAAAUUUGGAUAUUGAUUAAUGUGCAGUUUAAUGAUUCAUUAACAAUGGUCCAUAUUGCAGUUCGCACGUUUUUGGUUUGGGUACAAGAUAAGGCAGGGGUGUAUCUGCCCCUCCGUACAUUUAUUUCUGUCAAUUAUUCCCGUGCCAAACAUACAAUUAAAAUUUUAUCAAGAUUUUCUCCAGAUAAAAGAUGAAUUUUUUUUUAUAUUUGAUAGCACCAUCCAUGCAACUACAUAUUGUGAAUUUCUCACACAAGAGAAUUAAUUUUUAGCCAGAAUUAAUAUAUUUUAUUUAGGAGACAAAAGAUACACAUUACUUUAAAGUUUUAAUUCAAAAUAAAUAUUAGAUAAAAAUUAACAUAAGAAACCAAGAAUUGAUUUUCAGAAUGUUUUAAGAUACCUUUAAUUGUAUAGCAACUUUUAAGUGUUUAUUUUUGCAAAAUAAAACAUAUGUUAGUUGCUCCAAUCUUUGAUAAAGUACACAAAUUCUGACUGUCUCUUAAAUGUGCCACGUAAAAUCCUAUUGUUCGCUGAUACAAAUUAGUGACAAAUUGGCUGAGAGCAAACGGCUUAACACUUGAAAAAAAGAUUUCUCAUUUUUUUUUCUCAAAAAUUUAAAAUCAAUAAAAUGAUUUUCUCUCAUGCA